This 468-nucleotide ribosomal RNA is filed under the name uncultured bacterium. Its description in RNAcentral is "partial 16S ribosomal RNA". It matches the Rfam family "Bacterial small subunit ribosomal RNA", at positions 28 to 507 of the family's 1533-position model. The record is from RNAcentral.
GACGAACGCUGGCGGCGUGCUUAACACAUGCAAGUCGAACGGAAAGGCCCUGCUUUUGUGGGGUGCUCGAGUGGCGAACGGGUGAGUAACACGUGAGUAACUUGCCCUUGACUUUGGGUUAACUUAAGGAAACUGGGGUUAAUCCCGGAUAGGAGCUCCUGCUGCAUGGGGGGGGUUGGAAAGUUUCGGCGGUUGGGGUGGGACUGCCGGCUUAUACGCUGGUGGGGGGGGUAGUGGCUUACCAAGGCUUUGACGGGUAGCCGGCCUGGGAGGGUGACCGGCCACAUUGGGACUGAGAUACGGCCCAGACUCCUACGGGAGGCAGCAGUGGGGAAUAUUGCACAAUGGGCGGAAGCCUGAUGCAGCAACGCCGCGUGCGGGAUGACGGCCUUCGGGUUGUAAACCGCUUUCGCCUGUGACGAAGCGUGAGUGACGGUAAUGGGUAAAGAAGCACCGGCUAACUACGUG